CUCUGUGCCAGUGAUGUUGCAUGAUAUUGAUUUUAAAGCCUUUUGACCAUCUGUUAAUGGUUACAACAGCAUGGCGGGAUCUACAGUUUAGCAAUACAGUUGGCCAUGUUUCGAUUAUUAAACUACGAAGCAUUGUGAUGACAUGAAGGCAUUAUAGAUUUAGAUCUCGUUGUAUGUAUUUAAACAACGUUCUCAACAUUCAGAUCAAUUUCUCUGUAAAGCCCAAACUAUGUAAGUGACGCAUAGAGCAGUCAUACAUAGAGUACAUAGUGCUACACACUUUAACGGUUUCCUGCCCGGUAAUGGCGGCGUGGGGAGACGGGGUUGGUUGGAGCCAAGACGCUAUGCUAUCGUCAAAUCCCACGUCAACUCCCAAAUCCAGCCUCUACUCACUUUCCUACUCCACGCUGACACAACCAUGGCACCUGUUCCACCCUCUACAAAACACUGCUAUUCAAUUACAGGCCUUUUUAUGUGAGCCUCUUGCAACUAUCCAGCUACCCAGGAGCCCAGAAAGGUCAGCUUCAAAGGAGAGGCCAAUGAAUUUAAAUUGGAUUUAAAGGAUUCGAGGUUAUGGUGGAGAUGGUAUCUCGAUGCAUAGGAGGAAUAAUUUGACCAAACACGGUGUGGACCUGAAAACCCCCUCUAACCGGUUGAAGAAAUGGCGUUCACUAUGGCCCUGUCCUGCACCACUUCUAUCGAGAGACCCGAGUCUGAGCCAGCAACCGGUGUACAGCAUCCAGUUGAAGUUAUCAACUGCCUUUUCUCUCAGGAGUGAAACAGAAGUCCACGUGGAGUGAGCUGGUAUACUGGUUGGCAAAUGGAUGGGACAUAAUGAGUUGUGGUGGGGUUCAGGUGAGACGUUGAAAUUGGUACAUUAUCAUGGGCCAUCCAUUUUCAACUGUGAAGCUAUCUGAAGAAAAAUUCCGGAGAAGGGGGGGGGGGUCGGGGGGUUGGUCAACUUUACCCAUCAUUUAUUUAGACUAGAUCUAUACACUGCUACAUUUAUAGUGAUUUAGGCUAAGAAUGCAUUGAGAUACUGAUCUGGAAUUAUAGCCCUGAUGAGGAAUGUAAUACUAUAACAAUGACAUGAAUAUAUUGUAUGGUAAUAUAAAUGUACAUUCUGCCAGUGUUAAAUUGAGUUUUUUUUAUUUAUUUUGGGUGAUAAAGCCAAUGUGAAUCACUGAGCAAUGUCAUUCUAAAUUUUGGUUGGAUAUUUAAUUGGGUUUUGAUUAUGAUUUGGGAAUUUAAUGAUUUCCCUGACCUAUUCCUGACUACAUCUCUGAUGAGGACCACAAUCCUGAGCAUAAGGACCAUGAUGUACCCAGAGAGGGGUGUCUGUCAUGCUGACCCCUAUCUCGUGCAUAGUGCCAGUGUGAUGACUGUCCUAUUUGCUGUAAUGAAGCUUGUGUGUGAUUUCUA
Molecule: non-coding RNA, 1422 nt
Organism: Salmo salar (Atlantic salmon)
Lineage: Eukaryota; Metazoa; Chordata; Actinopteri; Salmoniformes; Salmonidae
Source: RefSeq, a predicted model, not a curated record